CCUAAUACAUGCAAGUCGAACGGAGAUUAAGUAGCUUGCUAUUUAAUCUUAGUGGCGCACGGGUGAGUAAUAUAUAGCUAACUUGCCCAUUACUAAGGGACAACAGUUGGAAACGACUGCUAAUACCUUAUACUCCGUAUCUAUAUAAGUAGAUACGGGAAAGUUUUUCGGUAAUGGAUAGGGCUAUAUCGUAUCAGCUAGUUGGUAAGGUAAUGGCUUACCAAGGCUAUGACGCGUAACUGGUCUGAGAGGAUGAUCAGUCACACUGGAACUGAGACACGGUCCAGACUCCUACGGGAGGCAGCAGUAGGGAAUAUUGCUCAAUGGGGGAAACCCUGAAGCAGCAACGCCGCGUGGAGGAUGACACUUUUCGGAGCGUAAACUCCUUUUCUUGGGAAAGAAUUAUGACGGUACCCAAGGAAUAAGCACCGGCUAACUCCGUGCCAGCAGCCGCGGUAAUACGGAGGGUGCAAGCGUUACUCGGAAUCACUGGGCGUAAAGGGCGCGUAGGCGGAUUAUCAAGUCUCUUGUGAAAUCUAACGGCUUAACCGUUAAACUGCUUGGGAAACUGAUAAUCUAGAGUAAGGGAGAGGCAGAUGGAAUUCUUGGUGUAGGGGUAAAAUCCGUAGAGAUCAAGAAGAAUACCCAUUGCGAAAGCGAUCUGCUGGAACUUAACUGACGCUAAUGCGUG
Molecule: ribosomal RNA, 691 nt
Filed under: uncultured Campylobacterota bacterium
Lineage: Bacteria; Pseudomonadati; Campylobacterota
Description: bacterial SSU rRNA
Rfam family: Bacterial small subunit ribosomal RNA
Source: RNAcentral